UCGAGCGGUAGAGAGAAGCUUGCUUCUCUUGAGAGCGGCGGACGGGUGAGUAAUGCCUAGGAAUCUGCCUGGUAGUGGGGGAUAACGUUCGGAAACGGACGCUAAUACCGCAUACGUCCUACGGGAGAAAGCAGGGGACCUUCGGGCCUUGCGCUAUCAGAUGAGCCUAGGUCGGAUUAGCUAGUGGGUGGGGUAAUGGCUCACCAAGGCGACGAUCCGUAACUGGUCUGAGAGGAUGAUCAGUCACACUGGAACUGAGACACGGUCCAGACUCCUACGGGAGGCAGCAGUGGGGAAUAUUGGACAAUGGGCGAAAGCCUGAUCCAGCCAUGCCGCGUGUGUGAAGAAGGUCUUCGGAUUGUACAGCACUUUAAGUUGGGAGGAAGGGUUGUAGAUUAAUACUCUGCAAUUUGGACGUUACCGACAGAAUAAGCACCGGCUAACUCUGUG
This 450-nucleotide ribosomal RNA is filed under the name uncultured bacterium. RNAcentral describes it as "bacterial SSU rRNA". It matches the Rfam family "Bacterial small subunit ribosomal RNA", at positions 62 to 507 of the family's 1533-position model. The record is from RNAcentral.